AUAUGUUUUUGGAGAAAUGUGGUUCUAUUGAACUGAUCUGAACUGAAAGGAAGAAAAUGGAUCUGAAAAGUAAAUCACUGCAUUUGACAGGGAAAGUGAAAUAACCAAAUGCAAUUUAAGUUAUACGCCAACAUCUGAGAGCAAGAAAUCAAAGAUCAAGCAACAUUGCAGAAGGUGAAGCAGCACCUCAGUCACCAGCAACACAGUAUGAUGCAGUCAUCAUGGGGAACUGAGAAAGAAAGA
Molecule: long non-coding RNA, 243 nt
Organism: Pantherophis guttatus
Lineage: Eukaryota; Metazoa; Chordata; Lepidosauria; Squamata; Colubridae
Source: RefSeq, a predicted model, not a curated record